This 324-nucleotide ribosomal RNA is filed under the name uncultured eukaryote. RNAcentral describes it as "partial 18S ribosomal RNA". It matches the Rfam family "Eukaryotic small subunit ribosomal RNA", at positions 1470 to 1796 of the family's 1831-position model. The record is from RNAcentral.
CCCUUAGAUGUUCUGGGCCGCACGCGCGCUACACUGAUGCAUUCAACGAGUUUCUUCCUGGUCCGAGAGGAAUGGGUAACCUUUUGAAAGUGCAUCGUGAUAGGGAUAGACUAUUGCAAUUAUUGGUCUUCAACGAGGAAUUCCUAGUAGACUUAGUUCAUCAGACUGCAUCGAUUACGUCCCUGCCCUUUGUACACACCGCCCGUCGCUCCUACCGAUUGAAUGCUCAGGUGAGCCAUUCGGACUUUCAUCAUGCUGGUUUCCAGUUUUGAUGAAGGAAAGUCUUGCGAACCUUAUCAUUUAGAGGAAGGAGAAGUCGUAACA